CUCCCCUCUGCAUGCUGAGCACAUCCUCACCAGAGUACAGCGCACAGACUGCUGAAGGGCCAGCAAGGCGGUGUGCAGUGCCCCACUGCCCUGCUCUGGCCACAGCGCUGUUUAAGUGCAAACUGCAUGGAAAGCGGAGGACAGGAAGUUUUGACAGGUUUGUUGGUGCGGUAAACAGGAGCAACACGUUCAAGAGGGAC
RNAcentral lists this long non-coding RNA (200 nucleotides) under Cavia porcellus (domestic guinea pig). RNAcentral's name for it is "lncRNA (ENSCPOG00000037543.1)". Lineage: Eukaryota; Metazoa; Chordata; Mammalia; Rodentia; Caviidae. The record is from RNAcentral.